Molecule: ribosomal RNA, 254 nt
Filed under: uncultured bacterium
Lineage: Bacteria
Description: partial 16S ribosomal RNA
Rfam family: Bacterial small subunit ribosomal RNA
Source: RNAcentral
UACAGAGGGCGCGAGCGUUGUCCGGAAUCACUGGGCGUAAAGGGCGCGUAGGCGGCCAGCACAAGUCAGUUGUGAAAUCUCCGGGCUUAACUCGGAAAGGUCAACUGAUACUGUGCGGCUAGAGUGCAGAAGGGGCAACUGGAAUUCUCGGUGUAGCGGUGAAAUGCGUAGAUAUCGAGAGGAACACCUGCGGCGAAGGCGGGUUGCUGGGCUGACACUGACGCUGAUGCGCGAAAGCCAGGGGAGCGAACGGG